GCUGGCGUGGUCUAAUGGUUAUGAUUUCUCGUUCACAUCGCAUGUGAAUAAGCGUGUUCUACCUUGAAUUCCGAGAAGGUUCCGUGUUCGAUCCACGGCGCUAGUA
Microdochium trichocladiopsis is the source of this 106-nucleotide non-coding RNA. The record is from the annotation of a RefSeq genome assembly. NCBI's taxonomy places the organism in Eukaryota, Fungi, Ascomycota, Sordariomycetes, Xylariales, Microdochiaceae.